AUACACAGUCGGUGGCCAAGCGAAAGCGAUAAGUCAUCCACCUGGGGAGUACGACCGCAAGGUUGAAACUCAAAGGAAUUGACGGGGGCCCGCACAAGCGGAGGAACAUGUGGUUUAAUUCGAUGAUACGCGAGGAACCUUACCCGGGCUCGAACGGCAGAUGAAUUGAGUAGAGAUAUUCAAGUCUUCGGACAUCUGUCGAGGUGCUGCAUGGUUGUCGUCAGCUCGUGCUGUGAAGUGUCGGCUUAAGUGCCAUAACGAGCGCAACCCUUGCCGUUAGUUGCCAUCAGGUAAUGCUGGGGACUCUAGCGGGACUGCCACCGCAAGGUGUGAGGAAGGGGGGGAUGACGUCAAAUCAGCACGGCCCUUACGUCCGGGGCGACACACGUGUUACAAUGGUGGGUACAGAGGGAAGCUACCUGGCGACAGGAUGCAGAUCUCGAAAACCCAUCCCAGUUCGGAUUGGAGUCUGCAACCCGACUCCAUGAAGUUGGAUUCGCUAGUAAUCGCGCAUCAGCCAU
Molecule: ribosomal RNA, 521 nt
Filed under: uncultured bacterium
Lineage: Bacteria
Description: bacterial SSU rRNA
Rfam family: Bacterial small subunit ribosomal RNA
Source: RNAcentral